UGGGGAAUUUUGGACAAUGGGGGAAACCCUGAUCCAGCCAUCCCGCGUGUGCGAUGAAGGCCUUCGGGUUGUAAAGCACUUUUGGCAGGAAAGAAACGUCGUGGGUUAAUACCCCGCGAAACUGACGGUACCUGCAGAAUAAGCACCGGCUAACUACGUGCCAGCAGCCGCGGUAAUACGUAGGGUGCAAGCGUUAAUCGGAAUUACUGGGCGUAAAGCGUGCGCAGGCGGUUCGGAAAGAAAGAUGUGAAAUCCCAGAGCUUAACUUUGGAACUGCAUUUUUAACUACCGGGCUAGAGUGUGUCAGAGGGAGGUGGAAUUCCGCGUGUAGCAGUGAAAUGCGUAGAUAUGCGGAGGAACACCGAUGGCGAAGGCAGCCUCCUGGGAUAACACUGACGCUCAUGCACGAAAAGCGUGGGGAGCAAACAGGAUUAGAUACCCUGGUAGUCCACGCCCUAAAACGAUGUCAACUAGCUGUUGGGGUCUUCGGACCUUGGUAGCGCAGCUAACGCGUGAAGUUGACCGCCUGGGGAGUACGGUCGCAAGAUUAAAACUUAAAGGAAUUG
Molecule: ribosomal RNA, 566 nt
Filed under: uncultured bacterium
Lineage: Bacteria
Description: partial 16S ribosomal RNA
Rfam family: Bacterial small subunit ribosomal RNA
Source: RNAcentral